CAGGAAAGGCUUCGGCCGAUCAGGGAUGGGCAUGCGGCGCAUUAGGCAGUAGGCGGGGUAACGGCUCACCUAACCGACGAUGCGUAGGGGUUCUGAGAGGAAGGUCCCCCACACUGGUACUGAGACACGGACCAGACUCCUACGGGAGGCAGCAGUGAGGAAUAUUGGUCAAUGGUCGGGAGACUGAACCAGCCAAGCCGCGUGAGGGAGGAAGGUACAGAGUAUCGUAAACCUCUUUUGUCAGGGAACAAAGACUGGGACGCGUCCCCGGAUGAGUGUACCUGAAGAAAAAGCAUCGGCUAACUCCGUGCCAGCAGCCGCGGUAAUACGGAGGAUGCGAGCGUUAUCCGGAUUUAUUGGGUUUAAAGGGUGCGCAGGCGGUCUGUUAAGUCAGCGGUCAAAGCCCGGGGCUCAACCCCGGCCCGCCGUUGAAACUGGCAGUCUCGAGUUGGAGAGAAGUAUGCGGAAUGCGCGGUGUAGCGGUGAAAUGCAUAGAUAUCGCGCAGAACUCCGAUUGCGAAGGCAGCAUGCCGGCUCCACACUGACGCUGAGGCACGAAAGCGUGGGUAUCGAACAGGAUUAGAUACCCUGGUAGUCCACGCAGUAAACGAUGAAUACUGGCUGUCCGGG
This 630-nucleotide ribosomal RNA is filed under the name uncultured bacterium. RNAcentral's name for it is "bacterial SSU rRNA". It matches the Rfam family "Bacterial small subunit ribosomal RNA", at positions 199 to 828 of the family's 1533-position model. The record is from RNAcentral.